GACGAACGCUGGCGGCGUGCUUAACACAUGCAAGUCGAACGGUGAAGCGCCUUCCUUUUUGGUGGGUGUGGAUGAGUGGCGAACGGGUGAGUAACACGUGAGUAACCUGCCCCCUUCUUCUGGAUAACCGCAUGAAAGUGUGGCUAAUACGGGAUAUUCUGGGUCUGUCGCAUGAUGGGUCUGGGAAAGAUAUUGUUUCGGUGGGGGAUGGGCCCGCGGCCUAUCAGCUUGUUGGUGGGGUGAUGGCCUACCAAGGCGGUGACGGGUAGCCGGCCUGAGAGGGUGGACGGUCACACUGGGACUGAGACACGGCCCAGACUCCUACGGGAGGCAGCAGUGGGGAAUAUUGCACAAUGGGCGCAAGCCUGAUGCAGCGACGCCGCGUGAGGGAUGGAGGCCUUCGGGUUGUGAACCUCUUUCGCCAGUGAAGCAGGCCUGCCUCGUUUGUGGGUGGGUUGACGGUAGCUGGAUAAGAAGCGCCGGCUAACUACGUG
This 494-nucleotide ribosomal RNA is filed under the name uncultured bacterium. Its description in RNAcentral is "partial 16S ribosomal RNA". It matches the Rfam family "Bacterial small subunit ribosomal RNA", at positions 28 to 507 of the family's 1533-position model. The record is from RNAcentral.